Molecule: ribosomal RNA, 2232 nt
Filed under: Pogonioefferia pogonias
Lineage: Eukaryota; Metazoa; Arthropoda; Insecta; Diptera; Asilidae
Description: eukaryotic LSU rRNA
Rfam family: Eukaryotic large subunit ribosomal RNA
Source: RNAcentral
UAAUGAGGGAAGGAAAAGAAACUAACUAGGAUUUUCUUAGUAGCGGCGAGCGAAAAGAAAAUAGUUCAGCACUGAGUUAUUUUGUUUUUAUAACAAAUAUAAGAUGCAGUGUAUGGAAUAUCUAUAAUCUAGUAUGAUAAAUUAACAGUCCAAGUCCUUCUUAAAUGAGGCCAUUCACCCAUAGAGGGUGCCAGGCCCGUAGUGACGUUAAUGAUUACUAGAAGAUAUUUCUUAAGAGUCGUGUUGCUUGAUAGUGCAGCACUAAUUGGGUGGUAAACUCCAUCUAAAACUAAAUAUAACCAUGAGACCGAUAGCAAACAAGUACCGUGAGGGAAAGUUGAAAAGAACUCUGAAUAGAGAGUUAAAUAGUACGUGAAACUGCUUAGAGGUUAAGCCCGAUGAACCUGAAUAUCUAAUAUGAAAAAUUCAUCAUUAAUAAUAUAUUAUUAUUAUAAAAUAUAUAAAUAAUGUGCAAUUUUUUCAUAUAAAGACAUUGUAAUCUGUUAAUAUAAAAAUAUAUAUAAAAAUUUAUCAUAAGUAUCGUUUAUGAAUAAGCUUAUAUUUAAUAUAAUAUUAUUAUUAUAUAUAAUAUAAUAAAAUUCAUUUAAAUACGAUUACAGAUAAAUUAUUGACAGAUUUUAAUAUUAUAUAACGCUAACAUAAUUUAUGUUAUAAUGAAAUUAUUAAUUAUAUAAUUAUAAUUUUUAUUAUAUGCGUUUAUAUGAUUAACAAUGCUAUAGAUUUAGGAUACCUUCGGGACCCGUCUUGAAACACGGACCAAGGAGUCUAACAUGUGCGCAAGUCAUUGGGUAUAAUUAAUAAAAACCUAAAGGCGUAAUUAACUUAAAUGUUAUAUAUAAUGGGAUCAAUUAUAUAAAUAUUUUUAAUAUUUAUAUAUUCCAUCCCGGGGCGUUCUAUAUAGUUAUGUAUUUUAAUAAAUUUUUAUAAAUUUAUUAUUUAUACCUCUAACUAGAGCGUACUUUGAGCAUACAUGUUGUGACCCGAAAGAUGGUGAACUAUACCUGAUCAGGUUGAAGUCAGGGGAAACCCUGAUGGAGGACCGAAACAGUUCUGACGUGCAAAUCGAUUGUCAGAAUUGGGUAUAGGGGCGAAAGACCAAUCGAACCAUCUAGUAGCUGGUUCCCUCCGAAGUUUCCCUCAGGAUAGCUGGUGCAAUUAAAUAUUAUUUUAAAUAAUCUUAUCUGGUAAAGCGAAUGAUUAGAGGCCUUAGGGCCGAAACGACCUUAACCUAUUCUCAAACUUUAAAUGGGUAAGAACCUAACCUUUCUUGAUAUGAAGGUAUAGGUUAUGAUAUAUUGUGCCCAGUGGGCCAUUUUUGGUAAGCAGAACUGGCGCUGUGGGAUGAACCAAACGUGAUGUUAAGGUGCCUAAAUUAACAACUCAUACUGAUACCAUGAAAGGCGUUGCUUGCUUAAAACAGCAGGACGGUGGACAUGGAAGUCGUAAUCCGCUAAGGAGUGUGUAACAACUCACCUGCCGAAGCAACUAGCCCUUAAAAUGGAUGGCGCUCAAGUUGUAUACCUAUACAUCACCGUUAAAAUAUAUGAUUUAUAUAUAUUUAUAAAAUAUAUAUAAAUUUUGAAACUUUAAUGAGUAGGAGGGUACAAUGGUAUGCGUAGAAGUGUUUGGCGUAAGCCUGCAUGGAGCUGCCAUUGGUACAGAUCUUGGUGGUAGUAGCAAAUAAUCGAAUGAGACCUUGGAGGACUGAAGUGGAGAAGGGUUUCGUGUGAACAGUGGUUGAUCACGAGUUAGUCGGUCCUAAGUUCAAGGCGAAAGCCGAAAAAUGAUAAGUUAUAUUUAAUUAUUUUAUAUAUAUUUAUUUUUUUAUAUUAUUAUUAUUAAAAUUAAUUAAUAUACACUUAUAAUUUUAUGAACGAAAGGGAAUACGGUUCCAAUUCCGUAACCUGUUGAGUAUACGUUUGUUAUUAAAAAUGGGCUUUUAUGCUCAUCCUGGCAACAGAAACAACCAUAAAGAAGCCGUCGAGAAAUAUCGAAAGAGUUUUCUUUUCUGUUUCAUAGUCGUACUACCAUGGAAGUCUUUCGAAGAGAGAUAUGGUAGAUGGGCUAGAAGAGCAUGGCAUUUACUGCUGUGUCGAUAUUUUCUCCUCGGACCUUGAAAAUUUAUGGUGGGGUCACGCAAACUUUCUUAACAGGCCGUACCGAUAUCCGCAGCUGGUCUCCAGAGGUGAAGAGUCUCUAGUCGAUAGAAUA